UGGGGAAUAUUGGACAAUGGGGGCAACCCUGAUCCAGCCAUGCCGCGUGUGUGAAGAAGGCCUUUUGGUUGUGAAGCACUUUAAGCAGUGAAGAAGACUCCAUGGUUAAUACCCAUGGACGAUGACAUUAGCUGCAGAAUAAGCACCGGCUAACUCUGUGCCAGCAGCCGCGGUAAUACAGAGGGUGCAAGCGUUAAUCGGAAUUACUGGGCGUAAAGCGAGCGUAGGUGGCUUGAUAAGUCAGAUGUGAAAGCCCCGGGCUUAACCUGGGAACGGCAUCUGAUACUGUUAGGCUAGAGUAGGUGAGAGGAAGGUAGAAUUCCAGGUGUAGCGGUGAAAUGCGUAGAGAUCUGGAGGAAUACCGAUGGCGAAGGCAGCCUUCUGGCAUCAUACUGACACUGAGGUUCGAAAGCGUGGGUAGCAAACA
Molecule: ribosomal RNA, 427 nt
Filed under: uncultured bacterium
Lineage: Bacteria
Description: partial 16S ribosomal RNA
Rfam family: Bacterial small subunit ribosomal RNA
Source: RNAcentral